GAUGAACGCUAGCUACAGGCUUAACACAUGCAAGUCGAGGGGUAACGAGAGGAAAGCUUGCUUUCCUUGUCGACGACCGGCGCACGGGUGAGUAACGCGUAUCCAACCUGCCCCCAACUAGGGAAUAACCUUGCGAAAGUAAGACUAAUACCCUACAAUUUCCUCAGAUGACAUCGUACGAGGAAUAAAGAUUUAUCGGUUGUGGAUGGGGAUGCGUAUGAUUAGCUUGUUGGCGGGGUAACUGCCCACCAAGGCAACGAUCAGUAGGGGUUCUGAGAGGAAGGUCCCCCACAUUGGAACUGAGACACGGUCCAAACUCCUACGGGAUGCAGCAGUGAGGAAUAUUGGUCAAUGGGCGGAAGCCUGAACCAGCCAAGUAGCGUGCAGGAUGACGGCCCUAUGGGUUGUAAACUGCUUUUAUACAGGAAUAAAGUUAGCCACGUGUGGUUACUUGUAGGUACUGUAUGAAUAAGGACCGGCUAAUUCCGUGCCAGCCGCCGCCGUAA
Molecule: ribosomal RNA, 506 nt
Filed under: uncultured bacterium
Lineage: Bacteria
Description: partial 16S ribosomal RNA
Rfam family: Bacterial small subunit ribosomal RNA
Source: RNAcentral